RNAcentral lists this transfer RNA (77 nucleotides) under Methanosphaera cuniculi. Its description in RNAcentral is "tRNA-Arg". It matches the Rfam family "tRNA". Rfam says of the family: Transfer RNA (tRNA) molecules are approximately 80 nucleotides in length. Their secondary structure includes four short double-helical elements and three loops (D, anti-codon, and T loops). Lineage: Archaea; Methanobacteriati; Methanobacteriota; Methanobacteria; Methanobacteriales; Methanobacteriaceae. The record is from RNAcentral.
UGGGUUUGUAGCCCAGUCUGGAUAGGGCACCAGACUCCUAAUCUGGAGAUCGAGGGUUCAAAUCCCUCCAAAUCCGU